ACAACUAUACCUUGCAGUAUACAGACAGUAACUUUGGAACACCUAAAAAUCCACCUGAACAGUUACUGAUUGUGGAAGCAGUCCUGGACGUUAUUUCCUCAACAGGUUUACUCAGGAAUUGAAGUACUUUAAAAAAAAAAGAAUACCAAGUCUCGACUGAGAGAGGCAGCAAUGUGCCAUAAAGCAUCCAGUCUGCUAGAAAUACAAAAGAAGAAGAAGAAGAUGUAGCUUCAUUGUCCGUCGGCUGGGAACCCUCGUUUAUCUUCCCUCCGGAGAUGGUUGGUAGGAAAACAGAAGGUGAGGGACAGGCGGACCUUCGACACAGGACAACACGGGGACCAGGACACACACACUCACACUCUGCUCCGGUGAUCGAUGAAGACAACAUUGGUAAUGGCCUUAACAGCCGAGCAAGGUGGGCGAUCAGUGGCCAUCGAGCCGAUCAUCUGGGGAAGCAGAGCAUGUCCGAGUUAAAGGGAACAUUUCACUGAUUUCUUGGACCCCGGUGGUCAGAGGGAAGCGAGCCGAGUAUCACAGUAGCAGGUGUGUGCACUUACCAUCGAGUAGAGGGAGCUCCCCCAGCCUUUGGCGAGGUGAUCUGGCACUACAACCACCCGAUGUCCCUGACGCCCAGCCACCACCAUUAGACUGUGUUGUCUCCAAAACCAUCGCCUGACACCCAGCCACCACCAUUGGACUGUGUCGUCCCCACAACCACCACCUGACGCCCAGCCACCACCAUUGGACUGUGUCGUCCCCACAACCACCACCUGACACCCAGCCACCACCAUUGGACUGUGUGGUCCCCACAACCACCACCUGACGCCCAGCCACCACCAUUAGACUGUGUUGUCUCCAAAACCAUCGCCUGACACCCAGCCACCACACUUGGACUGUGUCGUCCCCACAACCACCACCUGACGCCCAGCCACCACCAUUAGACUGUGUGGUCUCCAAAACCAUCGCCUGGACCCCAGCCACCACCAUUGGGCUGUGUCGUCCCCACAACCACUGCCGUCCUCCCCUUUCUUAUCCAACGUUCAUCCAUCUUCAUCUCGAUGUAUGUCAUAUAUAAAGUCUUCACAGAACUCUGGUCUGGUUUCUCAAAAGCCUCGUUCAUGAAUGUUGUAGCAAAAUGCACUCCUGGUCAAUGCACCAACCACGAACUUGCUCU
Labrus mixtus (cuckoo wrasse) is the source of this 1174-nucleotide long non-coding RNA. RefSeq lists it as uncharacterized. The record is from RefSeq and is a predicted model, not a curated record. The transcript has 3 exons. NCBI's taxonomy places the organism in Eukaryota, Metazoa, Chordata, Actinopteri, Labriformes, Labridae.